Molecule: unclassified non-coding RNA, 216 nt
Filed under: Hevea brasiliensis (rubber tree)
Lineage: Eukaryota; Viridiplantae; Streptophyta; Magnoliopsida; Malpighiales; Euphorbiaceae
Source: RNAcentral
AAAAUAAGUCUCAUUUUCCUCUAGAUAUUUUCUCUCCAAAUAAGUGAAAAAAUAAGAAAUCAAAAGAAAAAAAUUAGACUUAUACCUGAGAAAUUAUAUAUCUACUCUUUAUUUUUAGUGUCAACUUUUUCUUUCCCUACAGUAGUUUUUACUCAUCCGAACACAAGGAGGGAAAAUAAAGAAUAAAAAAUAAAAAAAUAUUUUCCUUCUUUUAUU